Molecule: RNA transcript, 1840 nt
Organism: Balaenoptera ricei (Rice's whale)
Lineage: Eukaryota; Metazoa; Chordata; Mammalia; Artiodactyla; Balaenopteridae
Gene: C5H4orf33
Gene name: chromosome 5 C4orf33 homolog
Exons: 14
Source: RefSeq, a predicted model, not a curated record
ACACAAUGAGCACUCAGAAACCGCUCAAACUUCUGUGGAACGAUUAAAAGUCUUCAGACUUUUAAGUCUUCAGACUUUAAGGACCAGCGGUGGUCCUUCAACAGGUGUCCGUGCUUCAGUCCGCCAAGUCUCUCCCCCAGAGCGUGCGGGCAGCGGGGCGGAGCCGCAGGUCCUUUGACCUCGGCCGCAGGGAGCGAGCGAGUGUCGGCCCGAGAAGAGACUCCCGAGUCUUCAAAUGGAUUUUAAAAUUGAACACACUUGGGAUGGUUUUCCAGUGAAGCAUGAGCCAGUGUUUGUCAGGCUGAAUCCAGGUGAUAGAGGAGUGAUGAUGGAAGUUAGCGCUCCAUUUUUCAAUGAUCCUCCAGCCCCACUAGGAGAACCAGGAAAGCCUUUCAAUGAACUGUGGGAUUAUGAAGUUGUGGAAGCAUUUUUCUUGAAUGACAUAACUGAACAGUAUUUAGAAGUUGAACUUUGUCCCCAUGGACAGCAUUUGGUGCUUUUACUCUCUGGAAAAAGAAAUGUGUGGAAACAAGAACUUGAUCUAUCAUUCAAAGCGUCCAGAGGAGAGACAAAAUGGGAAGGUAGAGCUUAUCUUCCUUGGAGUUAUUUUCCACCAAAUGUGACAAAAUUCAAUUCAUUUGCAAUUCAUGGAUCAAAAGAUAAAAGAAGCUAUGAAGCUCUUUACCCUGUACUUCCACAUGAGCUGCAGCAAGGACAAAAACCUGAUUUCCAUCAUCUGGAAUACUUCAAGCCUUUCAAUUUUAACACACUGCUUGGAGAAGAGUGGAAACAACCAGAGUCAGACCUGUGGCUAAUAGAGAAACCUGAUGUGUAGGAGUAUAGUAGAUGACCAUAUCAAUCAUUUCUUCUCUAUACCUUUUAAGGACUGAAAUUUUCAAAAGUAAGAAAGAAAACAACUGCCAGCUGGAAGAGGAGAGGUGAGAAUUAUAUAAAGAUAUUGGUAACAGUUGGAAUAUAGAAUUACCACAACAUGGCACAGUUUACCAGUGCUGCACAGCCCUGUGACUCUCAAGUUUGAUUCUGGGGUCCAGGGCUUACUGAUGAAAGUGAAUGAUCCUUUCUUUGAUGAUCCCCAGCACUACCAGGCGAAGCAGGACUGCCUUUUGAUGGAGUAUGAAGAGUUUCCAGAUACCUCAUGCUACUCAUCCCACGUAUCUGAAAGUGCAGUGACAUGGAAAGAUGAGGUCAAAAACUGUGUGACCUGGAACUGAGAUUUUUGGAAUGAACAGUCUAUAUCUGUUGUUGAAUCGUUUUUGUUCGAACAGCAAGACUAAACAGCACCUGGAGGUGGAACUCGGCCCGCACAGACAGCACCUGGUCCUGCUGCUCUCCAACAGGGAUUCAUUUACAUAAGAGCCAAGUUCACAAUUUAAAGUCAACACUACCUGGAACCGGUGGAGUGGAAAUAUAUUUCUUCCUUGGGAAUAUUUUCCACCUGGUAUUGAUAAAAUGAAUUCGUAUGCAAUUCAUGGAUCAGGGAUUAGAAGAAUUUAUGAAGCCCUCUAUUCAACGCCACAUGAAGAGACAGAGGAUGGACAAGGCCUAACUUCCAUCGCCUUGAGUAUUUUAAACCUUUCAACUUGAAGUGGAUUAUGGGAAACAACUGGGAGAAGCCAGACUCAGAGCUGUGGAAAGAGUUUUGCUGUGAUCCUUUACCUUCUGACAACACAGGUUAUAACUCAUAACGAAAAGCACUUAACAAAUAGAACUCCAUGUACCACCACCUUUUGGCCUCAGUUGGACAGCUGAAGUAAAAUCAUUGUCUGCUACCACUGUAAACGUUCCAACAACACGCCAGCAAUAAAUCGUCUAAUUGAAC